CGAGCACGCGCGUGUGGCAUAUCAAUAAGCGGAGGAAAAGAAACUAACAAGGAUUCCCUUAGUAACGGCGAGUGAAGCGGGAAGAGCUCAAAUUUGAAAUCUUCAAGGUUCUACCUUGACGAAUUGUAGUUUAUAGAAGUGUUUUCUGUUAGUGGAGUGGCAAAAGUUCUUUGGAAUAGGACAUCAUAGAGGGUGAGAAUCCCGUAUUUGGUCAUUCCUCCUAGCGUUGUGAUACACUUUCAACGAGUCGGAUUGUUUGGGAAUGCAGUCCAAAAUGGGUGGUAAAUUUCAUCUAAAGCUAAAUAUUGGCGAGAGACCGAUAGCGAACAAGUACCGUGAGGGAAAGAUGAAAAGAACUUUGAAAAGAGAGUUAAACAGUACGUGAAAUCGUCAAAAGGGAAGCGUUUGACACCAGUGUUGUUUAGUCCGAAAAUCAAUUACAAUAUUUUUCGAUUUUAAGUAGUUAUGACCUUCAUCAGCUUGCUGCUUUCUUUACGGAAACUUAUCUUAAUGCACUUUUCAGUUAACAAGUCGACAUCAAUUUCUUUUGUUGUAAAAGGUAAUGAGGAAGGUGGCUUGCGCUUUCGGAUAAAGUGUUUAUAGCCUUUUACCUCUGCAAUCGGAGAGAUUGAGGUCUGCAGCGUAGAUCCUUCGGGGUUAGAUACGUUUGUGCUAAGUUAUAGCCUUUCAUAGACAACAUUGUUGACUAUGAUUUAAUCAUUGUAGCUUACUCGCUUAUGCUAUUUUACCUACGCUUAGGAUGUUGAACUCUAUCACACACAG
This 783-nucleotide ribosomal RNA is filed under the name uncultured Neocallimastigales. RNAcentral describes it as "partial large subunit ribosomal RNA". It matches the Rfam family "Eukaryotic large subunit ribosomal RNA", at positions 19 to 614 of the family's 3401-position model. The record is from RNAcentral. Lineage: Eukaryota; Fungi; Neocallimastigomycota; Neocallimastigomycetes; Neocallimastigales.